ACGAUAACGUUUGCUUUUAAAAUGAAGUAGGAACUUCAAAAAUGAAACGCCAAGGUUCAAGCAAAUCUGAGAAAUUCAUCUUUGACCGCCAGGACGCCUAUUAAAUAACAAUAUUUGUUGUAUCUUUGUACAGAGCUUGAACGGCAGUAUGAACUUUUUUAUUUACUUAAAAAGUUGAAUUCACGGCCCAUCUAGUACUAAGAUGCUAAAAGUGCCCAGAGAACUCAAAAUGGUAUGCCACCACACCUCAAACCAUGAAGUUAAAGUCUCAAAUAUUUCGUAUGACAACUGUCCCAUGCUUUAAAUUUGAACACAUAGUGACUUCGCGGAAGAAAUAGACGAUGCGAUUAUAUGUCUAUCACCACGGGUUCCUCAUACGACUUCUAACUGUUCCAUUUUGGGUUCACAAAUGAGAUCUCAAGACUGCUCCGCGGCAGAAAUAAGCAGGAUGGUGAUUGCUCUCCUUUGACUUACAAUACGCCCCGUCACCCCCAAUAUACAUAAAUAUAAAACUUAUAAAUGUUGCGCAUUUUCUUUUAUUACACAAUGUUAUUCCUUUAUCGUAUAAAUUCUAAGCAAAUAAUAAGCACCUUUUAUCUAUAAUCGCCUGUAAGGUUUUAACAUCGACAAAACAGAGAAACGAAUUUCUGAGGUCUAGUGGCAAAGACAAUAAAUACUAGUCGUCUUUGGCACAAAAAGUCAAGUUCACUUAUUCCUAAUUCUAAUCAAACAUACCAGCAUCACCAAAUUGGCAUAUAUGACUUUUACGGACCAUAAUACAAUAACAUAUGAUUUGGUACCAUAAAUUUAAAUCUGGAAUAAAAAAUAUAUAUCGAUUUAUGGCUAAUUACAUAGAUAUCUCCAAUCACGUAUGUAUUGUUGACAAGCCUUGUGUUAAUAUAAAACUAAAAUUAAAAUAUUUUAAGAAAUCAAGAUGGACAUUAAUGUAAUACUUUAUGAUGCUACAAAUUUUUUUUAUUGCUAAGAUGGGUGGACGAGCUCAUAGCUCACCUGGUGUUAAGUGGUUACCGAAGCCCAUAGAUAUCUACAACGUAGAUGCCGCCAACCACCUUGAGAUAUGAGUUCUAAAAACUCAGUAUAGUUACAACGGCUGCCCCACCCUUCAAACCCAAACGCAUUACUGCUUCACGGCAGAAAUAGACAGGGUGGUAGUAACUGCCCAUGGGGACUCACAAGAGUUCCUACCAGUUUGUCUGCGUAGUUUUUUUUUGUGAAGGAUUACAGGUGGCUCGAAGGCCUUUCCAGUUUCGGCAGGACAAGUGGGCCAGCAAAGGUACAGCCAGAAGGGGUAAGAUUAACAAACGGGGUGUAAGUACAUAUGUCUGUGCACAUAUCACACCGGGCACAUAUCACAGAUAUAGACCUCACUACCAGGUGCUUAAGUGGCCAAUUAUACGUAACUCAUUCACGAGCUAGUUAUCCCAGCAAUAUCAUUAUGUAAUAGUCAGUUAUUGUUACCACAUAUCUUUACGUGAUAUGCCUUCAGUGAUUAACUUCAUAUAUUUUUCUAUUUAUAUUUACUAUUUUACGAGCAUUUUUAAUUAAGAGAAUGAUAUUAUAAAUUCCCUUCUCUCUUGAUCCAGCUUGUCUGAAACCUUUGUUUCUCGCAUUAACAACAUAAAAAAAAAUUCGCUUAGGGUCAUUAAAUGUGAAAUGCUAAGACAUUUAAGGUAAGAAAAACUAAAUAAAUAUGGCACAUUUUCAAAUUUUAUUUACAUUAUAAGUUCAUUUGACUAUCGAUGUUAUUGAUAUUGAUAACGUAUGGUGCUCGAAAUAAAGUCCACUUUUCUUUGGCGGGGGUCGUUGUGCUCUGAAUCUUCUGGAUUUAUAACUUUUUCACGGUUUCGGUCUUAGGUGGGUGAGCGAGAAUGUAGUCAAUAGCGCGACGGAUGGCUUCAGGCAUUGGAGGAGCAACUGGAAGUAACUCACUCUGCGAGGAAAGAAAUCAAACAUUUAGUGUUGUAUUAGAUUUGAAUAUAACAAUUUAAAUUAAUUGCAUAGAAACAUAGAUUAUAGAUAAAUAAAGCUCAGUAUUCCAGCUUA
Molecule: long non-coding RNA, 2064 nt
Organism: Bombyx mori (domestic silkworm)
Lineage: Eukaryota; Metazoa; Arthropoda; Insecta; Lepidoptera; Bombycidae
Exons: 2
Source: RefSeq, a predicted model, not a curated record